Molecule: unclassified non-coding RNA, 253 nt
Filed under: uncultured Euzebyaceae bacterium
Lineage: Bacteria; Bacillati; Actinomycetota; Nitriliruptoria; Euzebyales; Euzebyaceae
Description: contains 16S-23S intergenic spacer region
Rfam family: Bacterial small subunit ribosomal RNA
Source: RNAcentral
UACGUAGGGGGCGAGCGUUGUCCGGAAUUAUUGGGCGUAAAGAGCUCGUAGGCGGUUCCCUAAGUCGGGUGUGAAAUCUCAGGGCUCAACUCUGAAACUGCACCCGAUACUGGGGAACUUGAGGCAGGUAGAGGAGAUCGGAAUUCCUGGUGUAGCGGUGAAAUGCGCAGAUAUCAGAAGAAACACCGGUGGCGAAGGCGGAUCUCUGGGCCUGUUCUGACGCUGAGGAGCGAAAGCGUGGGGAGCAAACAGG